This 382-nucleotide ribosomal RNA is filed under the name uncultured eukaryote. RNAcentral's name for it is "partial 18S ribosomal RNA". It matches the Rfam family "Eukaryotic small subunit ribosomal RNA", at positions 592 to 976 of the family's 1831-position model. The record is from RNAcentral.
UGUAAGCGUAUACCAAAGUUGUUGCAGUUAAAACGCUCGUAGUCGGAAUUUGGCAGUUCCGGAUGUGUGCACGUCGUGUGCGCACUUCGCGGGGAUUGCUUUUGUGGUCUUGCGUAGGAUGAGGCACUUUUAUUAGUGAACGUCCUCACGCAACCACUUUUUACUGUGAGAAAAUCAGAGUGCUCAAAGCAGGCAUUUGCCGUGAAUGUAUUAGCAUGGAAUUAUAGAAUAGGACUUGGUUCUAUUUUGUUGGUUUGUUGGGACUGAGUAAUGAUUAAGAGGGACAGUUGGGGGCAUUUGUAUUUCGGUGCUAGAGGUGAAAUUCUUAGAUUACCGAAAGACAAACUGCUGCGAAAGCGUCUGCCAAGGAUGUUUUCAUUGA